GGGGUAGUGGCUCAGUGGUAGAGCUCUUGCCUUGCGUGUGUGAGGCACUGGGUUCAAGUCUCAGCUCCG
This 69-nucleotide transfer RNA is filed under the name Ictidomys tridecemlineatus (thirteen-lined ground squirrel). Its description in RNAcentral is "Spermophilus tridecemlineatus (thirteen-lined ground squirrel) tRNA". It matches the Rfam family "tRNA". Rfam says of the family: Transfer RNA (tRNA) molecules are approximately 80 nucleotides in length. Lineage: Eukaryota; Metazoa; Chordata; Mammalia; Rodentia; Sciuridae. The record is from Rfam by way of RNAcentral.